This 253-nucleotide ribosomal RNA is filed under the name uncultured bacterium. RNAcentral's name for it is "partial 16S ribosomal RNA". It matches the Rfam family "Bacterial small subunit ribosomal RNA", at positions 524 to 776 of the family's 1533-position model. The record is from RNAcentral.
UACGUAGGGCGCAAGCGUUAUCCGGAAUUAUUGGGCGUAAAGAGCUCGUAGGCGGUUUGUUGCGUCGGCUGUGAAAUCCCGAGGCUCAACCUCGGGUCUGCAGUCGAUACGAGCAAACUAGAGUGUUGCAGGGGAGACUGGAAUUCCUGGUGUAGCGGUGAAAUGCGCAGAUAUCAGGAGGAACACCGGUGGCGAAGGCGGGUCUCUGGGCAACAACUGACGCUGAGGAGCGAAAGCCAGGGGAGCAAACGGG